RNAcentral lists this ribosomal RNA (812 nucleotides) under uncultured bacterium. RNAcentral's name for it is "bacterial SSU rRNA". It matches the Rfam family "Bacterial small subunit ribosomal RNA", at positions 66 to 870 of the family's 1533-position model. The record is from RNAcentral.
GGGGCAGCACGAUGUAGCAAUACAUUGGUGGCGACCGGCGCACGGGUGAGUAACGCGUAUGCAACCUACCUAUCAGAGGGGAAUAACCCGGCGAAAGUCGGACUAAUACCGCAUAAAACAGGGGUUCCACAUGGAAAUAUUUGUUAAAGAAUUAUCGCUGAUAGAUGGGCAUGCGUUCCAUUAGAUAGUUGGUGAGGUAACGGCUCACCAAGUCCACGAUGGAUAGGGGUUCUGAGAGGAAGGUCCCCCACACUGGUACUGAGACACGGACCAGACUCCUACGGGAGGCAGCAGUGAGGAAUAUUGGUCAAUGGGCGAGAGCCUGAACCAGCCAAGUCGCGUGAAGGAUGAAGGAUCUAUGGUUUGUAAACUUCUUUUAUAUGGGAAUAAAGUGAGGAACGUGUUCCUUUUUGUAUGUACCAUAUGAAUAAGCAUCGGCUAACUCCGUGCCAGCAGCCGCGGUAAUACGGAGGAUGCGAGCGUUAUCCGGAUUUAUUGGGUUUAAAGGGUGCGUAGGUGGUUAAUUAAGUCAGCGGUGAAAGUUUGUGGCUCAACCAUAAAAUUGCCGUUGAAACUGGUUGACUUGAGUAUAUUUGAGGUAGGCGGAAUGCGUGGUGUAGCGGUGAAAUGCAUAGAUAUCACGCAGAACUCCGAUUGCGAAGGCAGCUUACUAAACUAUAACUGACACUGAAGCACGAAAGCGUGGGGAUCAAACAGGAUUAGAUACCCUGGUAGUCCACGCUGUAAACGAUGAUUACUAGGUGUGGGGGGACUGACCCCUUCCGUGCCGCAGUUAACACAAUAAGUAAUCC